AGAUCAGAUUGGACUCUCCUAUGCCUCCUGGAGAACUGCAGUGAUACUUACAACAAUUUACUGUAGAUAUCUGCUUUCUUCAUCUUUGUGUCAGUGUUCUGAGUACAGAUGGUUUACAUAACAAAUGAGCCCUGGAGUAAGGAUAUUAUCAAUACUGAUACUUGGAGAUUUAUAGCUUUAAAUAUAGAGAAAAUUCAUAAACACUUGGUCUUAUUUAGCAUAUAUUAUAAUGAUCUUGUGUUUCAAAGUAUCCUUAUGUUUAAUACUUAUUUGAUGUAAUACAUUAUUUGAUACAUAUAUACAUAUAUGCAUGCAGAUUAGACUCACCAAAUAUGAUCUUUGAUGGCAUAAGGAGAUCAAAAUUAUUUUAAGUCUGAGCUUGGUAGUUUCACAUGGCUUAAUCCAGUGCUGUCCUCAUAAGCAAUACUAUCCUUGCGUGUAGAGGUCUUCAUCUCAGAGACAAAUGCUCAAGGCAUUCUGAAAUUCAUAUUAUGAUUAUAAUGUCCCACAUAAGCCUAAGACACAGGAUACCAUCAAGGGACUUGCUGUGAGGAUGUAAGCGGGUUUUCCCUGGAGAGGAAUAUGCAGCUCUGUUCUUUUAAACAUAGAGUAAUUGUUUAUUUCUUUUCUUUUUAAGAGCAGUUCAUUUUCAAGCUGGACAGAUUGGCAAACACUGGAUGCGAGGUUUACUUUAGUUUAGAAGCUUCACUGCCGCACUGGAGUGUCAAUCAAAAUUCCACAGCCAUUCUUAGAUACUUGGAGGUGGGGCUGCCUGGUGAGCAGCAGUGAUUUGACCAGGCACUUUGAGCAAACAGGACCAGAGUUGUCAGUGUGACUGUAACCUUGCAACUGCAUUUUGACAGUUCCUUUAAACUUGUGGCCUUGCAUUCUGUCAUCGGACUUCUAACUGGAGCAGAGAGUUCAUGCCAAGUGGUUCUCUGAAUGUCGAGCAGGAAGAUCACACUGCUUCAAACAACAGCUACUGAAAACACCAAAGACAUAUUAUUUUCUAUGUGGUGAAAUUUGAAAUAAGCUAUUGUUAGAUCCUGUUGUGAAUACAUGGGAAUCAGAUCUGCCUUCUGAAAUCUGGGAGCAAUUGGUGGAUGGAGCCUUAAGCCUUUCAAAGGUAAGCUAUAUCUGUUUUUCUUAAAUUAAAAUAAAAUAAAAGAUGAAAAGUUUUUCUACUUUUAAGAUAAGAGAAGAUAAUAGUGUUCUAAAAUACUUUUUCUAACAAAAAUGUAAAAAAGA
This is a long non-coding RNA of Acomys russatus (golden spiny mouse), 1248 nucleotides long. RefSeq lists it as uncharacterized. The transcript is spliced from 4 exons. Lineage: Eukaryota; Metazoa; Chordata; Mammalia; Rodentia; Muridae. The record is from RefSeq and is a predicted model, not a curated record.